AUUGAACGCUGGCGGCAUGCCUUACACAUGCAAGUCGAACGGUAACAGGUUAAGCUGACGAGUGGCGAACGGGUGAGUAAUGUAUCGGAACGUGCCCAGUCGUGGGGGAUGACUGCUCGAAAGAGCAGCUAAUACCGCAUACGACCUGAGGGUGAAAGCGGGGGAUCGCAAGACCUCGCGCGAUUGGAGCGGCCGAUAUCAGAUUAGGUAGUUGGUGGGGUAAAGGCCUACCAAGCCGACGCUCUGUAGCUGGUCUGAGAGGACGACCAGCCACACUGGGACUGAGACACGGCCCAGACUCCUACGGGAGGCAGCAGUGGGGAAUUUUGGGCAAUGGACGCAAGUCUGAUCCAGCCAUGCCGCGUGCGGGAAGAAGGCCUUCGGGUUGUAAACCGCUUUUGUCAGGGAAGAAAAGGUUCUGGUUAAUACCUGGGACUCAUGACGGUACCUGAAGAAUAAGCGCCGGCUAACUACGUGCCAGCAGCCGCAGUAA
RNAcentral lists this ribosomal RNA (493 nucleotides) under uncultured bacterium. RNAcentral's name for it is "partial 16S ribosomal RNA". It matches the Rfam family "Bacterial small subunit ribosomal RNA", at positions 30 to 523 of the family's 1533-position model. The record is from RNAcentral.